AUCGCUUCUCGGCCUUUUGGCUAAGAUCAAGUGUAGUAUCUAGACUCUCAUACAGUUGGAAACAUAUAGUAUGUAGCUUUUCAGACUGGGUUUUUUCACUUAGCAAUAUGUAUAUUGUCCCUCCAUGUUUUUUCAUGAUUUGAUAGCUCAUUUCUUUUUAGGGCUGAAUAGUACUCUAUUG
This is a small nuclear RNA of Heterocephalus glaber (naked mole-rat), 181 nucleotides long. Its record names the gene U2. It matches the Rfam family "U2 spliceosomal RNA". Rfam says of the family: U2 is a small nuclear RNA (snRNA) component of the spliceosome (involved in pre-mRNA splicing). Complementary binding between U2 snRNA (in an area lying towards the 5' end but 3' to hairpin I) and the branchpoint sequence (BPS) of the intron results the bulging out of an unpaired adenosine, on the BPS, which initiates a nucleophilic attack at the intronic 5' splice site, thus starting the first of two transesterification reactions that mediate splicing. Lineage: Eukaryota; Metazoa; Chordata; Mammalia; Rodentia; Bathyergidae. The record is from Ensembl.